UGAAGACCACGAGCUCUAUGGAGCCCA
This 27-nucleotide non-coding RNA is filed under the name Mus musculus (house mouse). The record is from RNAcentral. Lineage: Eukaryota; Metazoa; Chordata; Mammalia; Rodentia; Muridae.